RNAcentral lists this ribosomal RNA (484 nucleotides) under uncultured bacterium. RNAcentral's name for it is "partial 16S ribosomal RNA". It matches the Rfam family "Bacterial small subunit ribosomal RNA", at positions 28 to 507 of the family's 1533-position model. The record is from RNAcentral.
GACGAACGCUGGCGGCAUGCUUUACACAUGCAAGUCGAACGGCAGCGCGGGCUUCGGCCUGGCGUCGAGUGGCGAACGGGUGAGUAAUGCAUCGGUACGUUCCCCGUCGUGUGGGAUUGCCCGGCGAAAGCCGGAUUAAUACCGCAUACGACCUGAGGUUUAAAGCGGGGGUCCGAAAGGCCUCGCGCUAUUGGAUCAGCUGUUGUCGUAUUAGCUAGUUGGUGGGGUAAAGGCUUACCAAGGCGACGAUCCGUAGCUGGUCUGAGAGGACGACCAGCCACAGUGGGACUGAGAGACGGCCCAGACUCCUAGGGGAGGCAGCAGUGGGGAAGGUUGGACAAUGGGGGCAACACUGAUCAAGCCAUGCCGGGUGGGGGAAGAAGGGCUUCGGGUGGUAAAACGCUUUUGUGCGGGAAGAAAUCCUCUGGGAGAAUACCCCGGGGGGAUGACGGUACCGGAAGAAUAAGCACCGGCUAACUACGUG